UACGUAGGGUGCAAGCGUUGUCCGGAAUUAUUGGGCGUAAAGAGCUCGUAGGCGGUUUGUCGCGUCUGCUGUGAAAACUGGAGGCUCAACCUCCAGCCUGCAGUGGGUACGGGCAAACUAGAGUGCGGUAGGGGAGAUUGGAAUUCCUGGUGUAGCGGUGGAAUGCGCAGAUAUCAGGAGGAACACCGAUGGCGAAGGCAGAUCUCCUGGGCCGUAACUGACGCUGAGGAGCGAAAGCCAGGGGAGCAAACGGG
Molecule: ribosomal RNA, 254 nt
Filed under: uncultured bacterium
Lineage: Bacteria
Description: partial 16S ribosomal RNA
Rfam family: Bacterial small subunit ribosomal RNA
Source: RNAcentral